Molecule: small RNA, 830 nt
Filed under: uncultured bacterium
Lineage: Bacteria
Description: bacterial SSU rRNA
Rfam family: Bacterial small subunit ribosomal RNA (bases 1-487)
Source: RNAcentral
AUGGCUGUCGUCAGCUCGUGUUGUGAAAUGUUGGGUUAAGUCUCGCAACGAGCGCAACCCCUAUCUUUAGUUGCCAGCAUUAAGUUGGGCACUCUAGAGAGACUGCCCGGGUUAACCGGGAGGAAGGUGGGGAUGACGUCAAGUCCUCAUGGCCCUUAUGCCUAGGGCUACACACGUAAUACAAUGGCAGAUACAAUGGGACGCGAUCACGCGAGUGUUAGCAAAUCUCAAAAAGUCUGUCUCAGUCCGGAUUGGAGUCUGCAACUCGACUCCAUGAAGUUGGAAUCGCUAGUAAUCGGAGAUCAGCACGCUCCGGUGAAUACGUUCCCGGGCCUUGUACACACCGCCCGUCACACCAUGGGAGUUGUUUUCAUUUUAAGACGUGGCUCUAACCUUCGGGAGGGGAGCGUCUACAGUGGGAGCGAUGACUGGGGUGAAGUCGUAACAAGGUAGCCGUAGGGGAACCUGCGGCUGGAUCACCUCCUUUUUAAAGGUUAUAAAUUAACCAGGUCUUUUUUUAUUUGAACGGUUCUUUUCUUUUCAUCUUGAUAUUUUACUCUUGUUUUAGCUUGCUCUUUUGAGCUUGUUUAGCAGGAGUAUUUUUAUUGAUCUUUGACAACUACAUAACAGGAUUAGAUAGAAGACGAGAAUUAUGCAAAAUAAAUUAAUUUUUUAAGUUAAUGUCCAAAAAAACUAGAAUAAAGCUACUAAGGGCAUGCGAUGGAUGCCUUGGCAGUAAGAGGCGAAGAAGGACGUAGUUAGACUGCGAUAAGCUUCGGGGAGUCGUCAAAUAGACUUUGAUCCGGAGAUUUCCGAAUGGGGAAACCCGA